RNAcentral lists this long non-coding RNA (18819 nucleotides) under Fragaria vesca (wild strawberry). RNAcentral's name for it is "long non-coding RNA (FVES_LNC002060)". Lineage: Eukaryota; Viridiplantae; Streptophyta; Magnoliopsida; Rosales; Rosaceae. The record is from RNAcentral.
AAACUGUCGGUCAAGUAUUUAGUAGAUAAAGGGAAGUACUUCGUCGAAAUUAAAGAACAGAAGGACGACGCCCUUGAAUUAGAAGUCAAGGGGAUGAAAAGGUUUUCGGAAUCUGACGAACUUGAUCAUCAAAAGAAAUUGAAGGCCAUGAAGACUCUAAUUACUCGAUUUGAGAAGGCGCUCAACCCUAAUAAAGGCACCCUUAACAUGUGUAUGAAAAGCUUGUACUCAACCCUAAUAAAGGCACCCUUAACAUGUGUAUGAAAAGCUUGUACGCAGGAGACAAGGAUAAGUGGCGUGAAGAUCACCUAUCUGCACACAAAUUCUUCUUUGAGCAAGCACAACUCAAGAAUAUUUAUGUGUUGGUGGAUCUGGGACGCACACAACUCGAGAAUAUUAAAGCCUACAAUUCAAAAACAUUAGCAUUACUAGAAGCUGGGAACUUGAACGAGGUGGCGUUGCAUGAGAUGAGAAAUCAGUACCUUUGUUUCUACAAAGGAAUAUUAAGUUUGAGCCUGAGAAUUAACAUAUUGAUUUAUCACUUGAAGAAACCACCACAGCGUCGACGUCCUGAGACGAGUUUGGUGGGCAGAUAUUCGGCAUGGGUGGAAGGUGAACUCCGGCAGUACGAGGAGGAACUAGAGACCACCGAGUUCAUAGUGUUUCAAUUAAUGAAGAACAAGUUUGGGGGACUUCGAUCGUUUGAACUUCGGUUGGUACCUGAUUCUUGGAAGGCAAGGUAUUUGAAGAAGGUUAUCUUGAAUGCGAGAGAGAGAGCGGCCUGAGUGGGACAAAGGGCUUCAUCAGAAACAAAAAAGCUCGAGAAACUGAAAACCCUUUGAGCUUGUUUAUUUAAUUAGCUAGCCCUUCUGCUUGUUAUUAACUUUUUACUCUCUUUGUAUUCUUUGUUUUUGAGUUUUUGCUAUUUAUUUUAUUUCGUCAUUAUUCUCCCAAUAAAUUGUGAUAUUCCCUAACGAACGACUACGAUCGAGGGAAUUUAUUUUUUAUUUUUUUUCUACAAUCCAAAAGAACUGUCAUACCAAUAUAAUUUAUUUUUUUCUACACACCUUUUCCUAAUAUAAUCUACCAGUUACUCUUUCAUACCAACUAAAUAAUUCAUAUUGGCAUUGCCUUAUGUGGAAUGCUCAAGUUUAUAUAUCCAUGGCCGUGAAGGCAUCCUCACAUUCAUACUCCUCAUCUUGAUACCCUGCAUCCUGGAAGUGAUCAUCUUCAAAAAGAUAAAAUGGAUCUUCUUUGCUUCUGUGAGGUUGUUCUCUGUCGUUCAUCUCUAUGACUGAAAUGAUCUUUCCCUUUAUGCAGCCAAGGUCAAAUGAAGUAUCUCUUUGUCAUAUCAGUACAGUAAACUGCAUAGCUGGCAGCAAGUGAGAGCAAUAUAUUACCUUGAGGGCAUGAGCGCUUAGAAAAACUCCAGCGUUUUUGUCCUUCAAAUCAUUCAAUGCAAGUUUAACUGCCUUCUUUACAAGUUUUUGAUCAGGUUGCAUCUUUAGCCUUGCUGAUUGUACUGCAACCUUGGAAGCAUGUCAAGGAAUGGCAUGUACAUAUAACAUAGGAAGCAUGUUAAGGCUAAUGAAAUUCGAAAAAAAAAAAUAAAAAAUAAAAAUGCAUGUUAAGGCUAAGUUAACCAGUUCAAAAUAAUUGAACAUCCAACAUAGUUUUGGGCCUCAGUGAGUAUGAGUAUUUGGGCCUCAGUAAUCUGGGCUCUAUUUGAAUGCAGCCCACACAGCAAUGCAUUGUGAAGGCACUUAUGUUUUAGACUUGGGGCAGAUAGAACUAUUUUCAUUGAAAAAUGAAGCUGUAUGACUCAAUAGUUAACGGAAUACCGAAAUCUCUAACUGGAUUUUUCCUAAUGAUUUUUCGAAGUCAGCAAAAAAGAAAAUUGAUGAGACAAUUUUUUUGAUUAGACAUCUUCAAACAAGUAGGUUUAUCCAUUUUGUUAUCUCAUUUGGUACAAUUAGAGGUAUAAUAACGAGCGAAACGUACUAAAGUUUGAUGCACUUGGAGCACUAAAAUGUUUUUUUGUUGUUGUUGUUGUUAGGUUGAAACAUUGUCAAAGCUUUUGUAUUAUAGCCGCUUACACUAGUCCUGCAUCUGCAUGCAUUAACCCUUUGAUCUUCUUAGCAAGGUUUCAGGUAGUGAAAACUUCACAAUUGUGAGAGGUUUAUUUUCUUUUGGCAAGGUUAAAAGCACGCUAUCAUCAUGGAGUAGUUGAGCUUAACACCUCAAUUAGCAGCACCAUCGUCCAAGUGGAAGUCAAGAUCAAAUGCUCAAUAUUUGCACAACCAAUCAAUUCUGGAAUUGGAAGUCAGCUGAUUAAAGUAGAUGCAAUUUCAAGCUUCUAUUCUGUCAGUCUUCCAUUGAGUGCUGGACUGUUGAAUGUGGACUCACUCUCAUCAGCUACCAACUUGACAUGUUCCAAUUUUCAUGUUCGUAUUAUACUAUUAUUGUAACAAGCACUGCAACUCUUCAAAAAAAAAAAAAUAUCAAUAUACACGUACAACACCAAAAACAAGAACAGAAAAUAAAUUUGGUAUUUGUUUAUGUUGUAGGAUGGGGCUAACCCAUUAAGUUGGGGAAAGAUAGCAUGAGAGUAAUAAAGGAACAAGUUGGUAUGAAACCUAUCCACAUAGCUAGGUCAUCUCUACUUUGAAGCUUUUCAAACAGUUGCCUAUGUUGAGUAAGUGAGGAUCGAUGUUGAAACAUUGGGUUGAAACUAGUUUGUUUGAUUGUUUGCAUGAGCUUAUUGGAAUAAAAUUAGCUUCUUGGUGCUAUUCUGGUUUGUUUUACAGCAAUGGACAUUCAUUGUGAGAAUAACCCUGUAAAUAAAAAUUGAAGCUUUGGCCAAAGAACUCUUUAUUUUGAUUGCGGAAACCACCCCUGUUGAAAUUCUUUUGGUGCAUGUUGAAUAGUUUCAACUUCUAUAUGGUUGCCAAUAUGUUACUUGUUCAGUCUCUCAUUUGAUCACUGUUAAAGAAGCUUUCAGAUGCACUGUCAUUGUAGUAAUUAGUUCUCGUAGUUCUGGUCAUUUGCUUAUCAUUGUAGACAAUGUUUCACGGUGCCAGCAUAAUGGUGCUUCUGCCAAUGAGGAGUGCGUUAUUAAGGUAUUUUUCUUUAUCUUACAGCUUUGUAAUGUCAUGAUUCUUUGUGGCAUGCACUUCUGAGUUAUGCAAAUGUAUUAAACUAGUGAUAAUGGUGAGAAGGCGACAGGUGGUGGAGCUUACAAUUUUGCGGAUCUCUUUAAAGAAAAGCUUGACAGAGGUCUGUCUUAGCAAGGAAGAUGAAAUGGACAGUCUUGUAGCUGGAGCAAAUUUUCUGCUUAAGGUGAACUCCUAGCAAAUUUUGCGCUUUCUGCCUAGGCAGUCGCUAAGUGCGCUUGCCUUAUGCCAGGAGUACCGUGAACUCCGUCGGUACGUCAUUUUGUAACCCUUUGCUCCUUACCUUAUAAAUAAGCUAAUGAAGUGCUUUGAUUUUUUUAAGUUCGAUGUCUUUUUCAGGAUGGCAAGGAAAUAUGGAUGCAUGGGAGGAACUAUGAUAUGGCAAUGGCUCCAGUCCCCCCAACGGUGGAGGGAGGCAUGAGUCGGAUAUAAUUGAAUGUGUUAUACGUUUACAUUAUCCAUUGUAAACGAGAGCUAAUAUCUUUCAAGCUUUGGACGUUAACGUCGAAUUUUGUUAUGGUAGUUAUAAUAGAACAGAUCUAUCUUUGUAAGGGUGAAUAGUAGUCUAACAGUGUGACAAUAUAUGAAAUAAUCAGACCUUCACUUUCCACUAUUGGACAAAUUGGAAAUAUAUGUUCGUGUCUGAGUCCAAAUUUCCAUUGUUGGUUGGGGAGGUCGUGAAAAGGGAUUACCUUCUCUAUUUGGAUUCAAGUUGUUUGUGAAUUAAAGUAAAGCAUCCAAAUUUCGUGAAGAGACAAAUUUCAAAACUUUUUUUUCCCCGUCAGAGCUGCCUACUUUCAUAUUAUUUCUCAGCCUUUUCUCUAACUUUGUCUCCAUUUUUUUCUAUUCAAUUCUUAAAGAGACCGUAAUGGCUUGAUGUACGCGCAUGUAGCUAGGUACACAACCAUUUCCCACAUCUCAUACGGCAUAAAACGCGUAGUCAACUAAAGAUGACCGGCAGUCUCCCCGUACCUGAACUUCGAUCAUUAGCGAUUUAGCGUCAUUUGAAUAAGAUAAAGUUGGCCAACUUGGUCGUGCUUCAUACGACUAUAAAUUCUUGUUCGUCUAUCUCAUUUAUUUACAAAGAGUUGAAGAUACAGCAGGCUGCUUCAAACCUUUCUCUUAUCUUGUAAACCUCCUCAUCAUCAUGUCCUCAUCAAAGGCGAGUUCUUACGAGAAGUUCUCAGAUGCUCCGGCAACGGGUAUUCCGGUGAACUCCAGCGACCCCUACUAUAGUCAUCCUGCUCAUGAUAACUCCCACAUGCCAGCAGAUGCUCCUCCAUAUCAUCAUCAUCUCCAUGCUCGAGCCCCCGAGCCUUGGAAAUCCGGCCUCCUUGACUGCUUCUCCGAUCCCAAAAGCUGUAAUUACCUCACAACCUACCCCGAUCCAUCUUUGUAAUUAAUUUGCUCGAAACUAAUUUUUUGUGUAUGUAUCUAUGCACAGACUGCCUAACAUUUUGGUGUCCUUGCGUCACCUUUGGCCAGAUUGCUGAGAUUGUGGAUAAAGGCUCUACAUGUAAGCACCAGCUUUCUCUGAUCCUUCUAUAUCUUUUUGUUUUCCCUUACUUGCUAUAGACAGAUAUCAUUGAGAUCUAAUUGCGUUCUACAAAUGUAGCUUGUGGUGUAAGUGGAGCAUUGUAUGCGUUGAUAGCUUUUGUGACUGGUUGUUCUUGCAUCUAUUCUUGCUUCUACCGCUCGAAAAUGAGGCAGCAGUAUUCUUUGGAAGAGAGCCCUUGUGGUGAUUGUUUGGUUCACUGCUUCUGUGAGGCCUGCGCCUUGUGCCAGGAGUAUCGUGAGCUCGAAAGUCGCGGUUUCAACAUGUCCAUUGGUACGUCGUUUUUUGUAAAUCUCUUUCCAAAUUCUUAACUUGGUCAUUUUCAUUCUAGUUGAUAAUGUUAGUUCACUGCUAAUAAUUAUACCACGUACGUUGUUACCGUCACACAACAUAAAGAAGAGAGUAAAAAAACUCGAUCAAAACAUAUGCAUAGUGUUCAACCAUAUAUAUCUAUCUAAUUGUCAAAUAAAUGGACGACUUUUGAAAUAUAGAGUUUAUACAAUAAUUAGAGAGGUGUACAUGCAAGAAAAUGAAAAAGUAGUAAAGAAAUUAAGAAAAGUAGAUCCAUAUAUGAAUUUGAAUUCUAUAUUACAAUGUUUUUCGAUCUAUCAUUGACUCUUAGAUUAAUUAACGUUAAUGGUCUAAAUGUUUUAAUUCUUGAAUGAAUUGUUUCAGGAUGGCAUGGAAAUAUGGAUGCAAGGAACCACGAAGUAGCAAUGGGCUCGAUGCCCCCCAUGGUGGAGGGAGGCAUGAGUCGAAAUAAAAAUGAGAAUAAGAAGAUUUAUGCUGGGACUAUCGAAUUAUAAUUUUUUUUGUACUUGGUUUUUUCUUUUGGAGUUGAAGUUGUGAAUGCAUUUGAUAUAUUAUAUGGGCGUGGAAUUGUGGAAAUAUAGAUGGGAGUACUAUGAAAUGGCAAUGGCUCCAAUGAGUCGGAAAUAAGUGAAUGUGGUACAAGUUUACGUUAUCCAUUGCAUGUAAACAAGAUUAUACUUUUGUACCAUAUAUAUUAACAUCGAAUUGAAAUCAAUCUGAUAUAUUUAAUUUAAGAGAAAAUACCCAAAUACCUAAAAACAAGUUCUUAAACCCCAAUCCAAUUAAAAUAUUUUCUCAUAGCUCAUUUCAAUGAUUCUUAAUAAAAUGUCAACUGUACCCUUCUCUCUCUCUCUCUCUCUCUCAUCUACGUUNUAUUCUCUCUCUACUCUCUCUCUCUCUCUCUCUCUCUCUCUCUCUCUUCGUCUCUUUCUCUCUCUCUCUCUCUCUCUCUCUCUCUCUCUCUCUCUCUCUCUCUCUCUCUCUCUCUCUCUCUCUCUCUCUCUCUCACUCUCUCUCCUUCGUCGCCACCCUCAUUCGCUGAUGCCGCCCCACCCGCCGCUUCAUCCCCGGCCAAGGUUCGGGAGCUUCCGGGCUCGUCACAUCGUGUUCCCGCCACCGGACAUCGACGACUCCCCGGUAACCUUAGUCGACAAGAUCACCACCUCCCUUCGGAAAUCCCGAGUCUUCUCCAAACCCUCCCCGCUGUUGUCGCCGCCUCCGUCCUCUUUCGUCCCCAAAGAGACCGCGCCUCUGGUCCGAUGGCACAAGGGCGAGUUGAUCGGCUGCGGCGCCUUCGGCCGCGUCUACAUGGGCAUGAAUCUCAGCUCCGGCGAGCUUCUGGCCGUUAAGCAGGUUAGGGUUUCCAAUUCAAGUUGUUAUGAUUUCCGGAUUCGAGUUGAUUUUGCUUAAUUUUGGUGUUGGAGUGUGUUAUAGAGCGAUUUGGAUUGCUGCUGUUUCUAAUUUUAUCUUAUUUUUGGCUUAUAGUUAGGUUUCGAUUUGCUAAGUGCUGGAUUUUGAUUCUGGAGUGUUCCUGUAUUAAUUUUGGUUUAGAAGUUCAUUUCCUUGUUGAUUUUCGUCAAUUUUGGUGAUUCAAUUGUACUGAACAGUUAAUUCUAUAUGAUUUAUGUCUUGGAGUUCAAUUAAGAAGAUGAGAGCUAGUUCAGUAAGGGACUUGGCAUGGUUCAGUAUGUAAUGUUGAUAUGUAAUGUGAACAACAAGGAGAAAGCUCAGGUGUGACUUCUGUUCUGGUCAGUAGGGGUCAGUAACUGGUCAUUGGGUGUCAGUAACUGGUUAGUGAACUGGUUACUAGGGGUCAGUAACUGGUUACUGAGUGUCAGUAACUAGUCAGUGAGGGUCAGUAACUAGUUAGUGAACUGGUUACUAGGGGUCAGUAACUGGUUACUGAGGGUUAGUAACUGGUUAGUGAGGGUCAUUAACUGAUCAGUUGUUGGUUAUUGGGGUCAGUAACUGGUUUCUGGGGAAAUUCCGGUAACCAGAGUCCGGAGAUCGGGGAAAUUCUGGUGACCGGAGUCUGGCGGCCGGUGACCGGAGUCUGAGGUUCCGGCCAAGUCUUUUUAUGUUGAAGAGGUGGGGGUAAAAUAGUCUUAAAAUAAUAUAGUUUGUUAAGACUUUAGUGAAGAUUUGACCAUUUAGGCACAAAAAUAGUUUACUUUCAUUCAAAUUGGCUCAUAGAAAAGAUUGUCAUUGGAAUGAGCAAUGAAGAGUUACAAUUAAUACUAAAUAGACAUUUUCCCUUAAUUUAAUAUACGAGGUUUGUGAGUCUCACAAGUCACAUUUACGCUUGAUUAUGGACAAGUGGACAAACACUGUCCACAUCUUUAUGUAUAAAUAAAAUCAAGCUUAGCAAGGCAUAGUGUAUAAUUCAAUCCCGAGAAAUUCUUAGGUGCAACAGCCGCACCACCUGACACAUACGCACCUAACCAUUCUUUGUACACGAUUUUUUUUUUUUUUUCACACCUGCCUUCUUCUUCUUUUUCUUCUUCUUCCUCUUCCUUCCUCUGCUCCGGCGCUUCUUCUUCCUUCCUCCGGCAAAGCUUCUUCGUUCUUUACACGGGGUGUCCUCUUCCUUCCUCUUCUUCGGCCUUCCUCCGGCAAAGUUUCUUCUUCCUCCGGUGAGGCUUACGGUGGAGGCAGCGGGGGUUGUAGGUUGCAGGUUUGAGGCGGUGUAUGGGCAGAGGGAAAGAAGAUCGGAGGGGAUCGAUUUCCUACCGGAGAAAGGAAGAAGAAGCACUGGAACAGAGGAAGGAAGAGGAAGAAGAAGAAGAAGAACGCUGGUGGUGGUGGUGGGUGGGGGGGGGGUGGUUGGGGAAAAAGAAAAACACGUGUUGUUGUGUGACUGGUGGGUCGCACAGGACACGUGAUGCGUUAGCCACACCUAAGAUUUUCUCUUCAAUCCCCCACUCCAUCAUGGACGCAUGCCUUAGAUAUCUUGCCACACAUGCUAAAUCAUAUCGUAUACAUACGUUUUAUAUAUUAUGUGUUGUUUAUGAUGGUCAUUAUGUAUAACUUACUAUGGACAGAUAAUGAAAUGUUAUUCUUACAUAACGAUUGAGUGAAAAGUUCAUCCGAAUAAGAAACAUCGUCUAAUUCCCUAUUUGAUUUAAGAAAAAAAAACGAUUGAUUAGAAAGUUAGGAAAUAUAUCUCAGGUAGCUAGUUUGACAGCCUUUUCUUCUUAGAGUGAUAUUGUUUACGUCAGCCUAAACAAAAGCUUCUAAAUAAAAAAACCGUAAAGGGCUUUUUAAAUACCUGAAUGAUAUUAACACCACGCUACAAAAGCUUUUACGUCAUUUAUAUACCUGAAUGAUGUAUCCGGAUCCUCUCCUCAUAUCUCUCUGCUAAUAUUUCCUCAUAAAACAAUCUUGGCCGUCCAAAUUUAUUCAAAGGCCAAGAUGUCUCCUCUUUUAAUCCAAAACCUCGUACGACUUCGAAUGCUGAGCGAGAGAGAGAAAGAGAAAGAGUGAGAGAGACGCAGAGAGUUGAGGAAGAGAUACAGAGAAUUGGUCCAUCCGCGACUUCAAAUCCCUAAACACCACAACUUCCCGAGUUUCAGUUCGUAAGAUGUUCUGCCCAAUUUCUCUUCACCUCUCACUUCAAAUUGCAUGUUUCGAUUUUUACACAUUUUCACUGAUAAAAGCUUCUUUGGUUACCCAGAAAUCUCGAAAUUGAUUACGGUGAUGAAUAAAUGGCGCCCAAAAUUUCUAGCUUUCUAGGUGUUUGAAACAUUUAGGAACCCAGAUGGAAACGACUUUUGGAAAUUAAGCCUCGAUUGGAAAGAUUGAAUUUUACAUGUUUGAAGUCAUUAAGUUCAAAUUUAUAUAUAUUUAAAGAAGUGAAUUUUGAUUCAUGUUGGAAUCGUAUGAUUCAAUGGUGUUUUAAUAAUUUAGUUCAAUGUCUGAGGUUAGUUUUGGAUUGUUUCUAUGGGAUCAUUCUUUGAAGUUGGAUUUGCAGAAUGGACGACAUGUAUGGACUUCUUUCCUCUAUGUUUUCGUGUGGAAUUGCUGAAGGCUGAAGGUUCAAUUACAAGAAUGAAACUUGCAUCCUAGUUACCCUGAACUUGAUAUUCUGGGUAUGAUGUGAAUUCCGGAAGAGAAAGAGAGAUGAGAGAUUGUAUGAGAUCUUGGCCCUUAAAUAAGAUUGGACGGCUAAGAUUGUUUUAUGAGGAAAUAUUAGCAGAGAGAUAUAAGGAGAGGAUCCGGAUCCCUGAAUGAUAUUAUUACAAAAAAGUGAGUGGGAUGUGGCUCUACCACUGAUGUGCCAUCAAAUUUAGGGCCAUUGGACGUCAAAUAACAUUUAAAACUAGCUCAGGAACUCCAACAAACACGUGUUUUAAUCUGCCCCCUUUUAUUUUAAUCAACGGUGGGAGGUGGCGAUCCGCACCUCCAACUUUCGACCAAUCAGCUCCCACCUCGUUCUCUAUAUUAAAUAGGCCUUUCCCUCACUCUUUUCCUCCACACAAAAAGAAAAGAAAAAGAAAAAGAGAGAAAUGGCCAACUGGAAGAAGAUUGUGCUUGCAACGGCAGCCAUCAUCGGCGGAGGAGCCAUCACCGCCUCCCUCACUGUCUCAGCAGCACCAGCAGCACCAGCAGCACCACCCGUCCUCAACCCUUGUCCUCCACCUCCACCGCAGACGAUGAUGGCAAUCCAGUGGUGGAUGGUUUUCCUCGUAACCAACGUGAUAUGGAUGUUCCAGUGGCAAAAACACGUGAAGAAACGAGACCAGAAGAAGUUGGACAAAUGGUCCGGUGGGGAUCAUUGUACGGAUCACGAAGGCAACCCGCUCAGGCUUCAAGAAUUUAGUGAUAUGAUGAGGGAGGCAGGGGCAAGUGUUGUCUAGGGUUUCAGAUCAGAAUAGAGUUGGUAUUAGGGUUUACUAGAAUUUUUGCCCGCGCUUGGUGUAGGCGCGGUUGAUCAGUUUAGCGAUCAUGGAAUGGGAUAUUGAUGAUGGUGAUGAUAUAGCGUAGAUAUAAAGAUAGUUGUUUCGAACAGUUUGGAAUGCUAUCAAUUUUUACGACAAUCGUUAUGUUAUCUAGUACAUAAGAUAUUUAGUAUAAUAUUAUACUGAAAAGUAAGUGAAAUUGAUACAGGAAUGUGAAUGUAAAAAAAACAUGGAUCGACUUACAUGGGUUGUAUGGGUGCAAACAGUACCACAGUAACAGUCGCCCGGAAAUACAACCAUUUGAAGAAUGAGUUUUCCAAGGAUGCGUUAAGUAUUUGUCAACCAAUUAUUUUUUUUCAAUCGGUAAGAUUUGUCUGAAAUCUCCUCCUAACAAAAUAGGUUUUCCACCAAACAGGUUUUUUAGCCUGGACUUGUGUAUCAUCAGAAUUUGAAAGAAUGUCACGAAGAGUUUUUUCUAGUGACUCGAAAUAAUACUUGUUACACAUUGGAGCUUCAUCAUAAAUAAGAUAAAUGGGCCUAAACAUCAAAGCUGAAUUCUUCUCUUAGCAACCUGUUAUUGAGUUAUGAUAUCUUGUUUUCAUCUGGCAUCGGUAAUCGAUAAUCUUUUAAUGAUUUAGAUGACAUAUUUAAUAAUCGUUCCAAUUCAAAUAAAAGAUUAUUUUUGAGUUGUGGCUCUGGUAUAUUUACAUUAAGGUCACCCAAGUCGAUUCGAGCUUUGUGUAUGAUAUCUUCACACAUGUUUAACCAAUGUGUCUCGAGAAGUUUUUUUGGAUUUACAACGUCAUAGAAUAUAAGUAUGGUAACAAACAAAUAGCGCAUUUCUGAAGCUGUAGCAACAUGCGAUGAGUUUGUUAAUGCUUCAAUCCAUUCCUUGUCAUAGACCUAAAGCUUCACAUGCUUCUUGAUAAGAAGAAUAUGUAACACCUUUAAUAGUUCUGACCGAAAUAAAAUCAUAACAACCUUUCUGGAUAGUCAAUAACAUUCGCAAAUAAUAUAAUUCGCCUCUCAUGGGGUGGAUAUAAGCUAUUCUACCAAUUGUCUUAUAUUGUUUUCUUAGCGUCCACACUUUCUUGCUUUUAUCCCAAACAAAUUUAGUCAGAAAUUCAGCAUAAGUUAAUUCUUUUGCUUCAUCAUGAGUAUUAUUUUCCUGAAAAGUUUUGUUCGUAUUGAACCAACCAGUAAGGGUUGUACGAUCGUUUGCUUUAUUUUUCACAACAGAUUCUACAGAAUCAGUUUCUCUAAACACAACAUUUUCUUAUGAAGGUAGAUGAAUAUCUAAACGUAGUACUGCAAGAUGUUUUGAAUGGAUUGAAUAUUCAAAUAGUCUCCAUACCAAUUCAUGUGGGCCUAGAUAUCGACAAUUGAGAUAAGAUUGAAUUUCAUCGUUCGUAUUGCCGUAUAUUCCUAUUUGUGCUCCGUUGGGACCCUUGUUGAUAUAUUUAAAUAAAUAUUUGAUCAACAUGGAUUGAGAGCACGAUUCAACAUUGAUAUGAGCAUUGUAUUUUAAUAACAAAUUAGCAUUAUAAGGUACAACAAAUUCGUUUCCGAUCUGAAUCUUAUUUUUUAUAGUGAAUCUCGUCUCAUUAUCACGUCGUUUGUACAUAGGCGAUUUGAUUAUUUGGAAUAUGGUCUCGUUGUUGUAUUGUUUUGGGAAAAAUUUAGAGCAUUUGCGGUCGCGGAUGCAUGGAACUUUCAUAUCAAUUUCUCCGCAAGGCCCAUGAAUCAUAAAUUGGCUAACAAUUUCGUAAAGUUUUCUCAUCUGGUAAUUCAGCUAAAAUAAUAGAAUCGAUGUCACUCGGUGUGUAGCAUUUAUGAUGUUUUUUUUAACUAGAGCAACAUAUGAGCAUGAGGUAACCCUCUUUUUUGAAAUUCAAUUGUGUCUACGUCUGCCUUGAUUUCUCCAAAUGGCUCGCCAGAUUUAAUAUAUGCUACCACAUCUUUUAAUUUCAAGUUGAAAAUUCUAGAGACUAUAUCAGAUCUGUCUUCUUGUUUGUAUCCCGGUUUUUUUUUCAAAAUAUCUUAAUAUUUCAGGCCAUUUUGUGUUGCAUGUGAAAGUGAUGAACAAAUCCGGGUUCCCGUAUUUUCGACAAAUUGCCAUUGCAUCCUGAUAAUUAUUUAUCAUAUCUCGCGGACUACCAAUGUGUGAACUUGGAAGGAAAAUUUUUUGGCCAACAUCUCGACCUAAGUUAGCUCCACCUAAAUAAGUAGUAUAAAUUUCAUCACGUUUUUCAGUCCUAUAUUUGUUGUUGUUUUUCCUAAUAAAAUACAUACGGUCUUCUUCGACUAUUGCGUAAGCAUCUACUAAAUAUUGCUGAAAUAAUCUCUCACCUUUUAGCAAAGUAUUUGGAUUUAUCCCUCUAUCAUGAAUUUGAUAUGCUAUGAAACUUCGCAUCGACAAUUUAUCUCUUUUGUUUUCUGCAUUUGGAGCAGUUAAUUGCAAUUUUAAACCAAGUUUAUACAUGUCUUCACCGUAAGGAAAAAGUAUGGGAUAUUGUAACGACAUACAUUUUGGAUAUAUUCUUGAAAUCCGCUGUAAAUACCCUUCGUUUGAUUGAAUUAUAAUAUAUUUAUUCGAAUUGAAUUCCCCUAUAUCGCCAACAAUCAAACCACCAAUUUCAUCACCGAUCGGUUCCUCGUAUUGUUUACUGUCAUUCAAUUGUCGACCCAUUAUGGUAAUGUUAUAUGAAGGCAAAGAACCAUCUUCAAAUUUAUCUCUAAGAGUUCGAUACAAUUUUACUAAUUCAUUGAUAUUGUCAAGCAUAUGCUUGAGGCCCUGCACAAUUUCUGGUUUGAUGAUCUUUUCAACAUCAUCAGACACCAUAGCUUUAAUACGAUUUCUAAUUUCGUUGCGAGUAUCAUAAACAUAUAAUUGAGCAUAUUUAGGAUAUUCACCAUUGAGCGGCAAUAUCGAACCCAUCAGAUGAUGCACUUACCCGCAUAUUUUAAAAACGUAAGGUCCAGACCCAUUAUUUACAUUCUUGUCAAUUUUUACACCCAUGGAAGUAAAUGAAAAUAUCGAAUUGUAUACUCGAAUAUUGUCUCUAAAGAUUAAACUUUGUCGACCAUUGUUUGGAUUUAACAAUUGUUCAAGGAAAUCUGGUGUCUGUGCUGGUUCUGGGAGUUGCGCCUGCCCUUUCUGACAACAGCUUGUGUAUAUAAUAGGUGCAGUUCUUGAAGUCCGUUGAUUUGCCUCAUCCAGCCAAAAAUGUGCAUGACAGUGGGCACACUGAAAUUCGUCAUCACCAGUGUCUUUGAAUUCAACGAUUACACCUGCAAUUGUAAUCUGUUUAAAUAUGACUGAUUAUAAUUAAAUAUACCAGAAACAGAAAUAGUCAGGUGUCAUAUUAUUACCUUCUCUGGUUUUUUGAUAUGAAGCUUGACCAACUGACAUUGGAUCUGUAACCUCGUUCUCCACUGCAGGUUGUUAAGACUGAACCAUUCAUAUCAACAAUGAUGGUAAAUGGUAAUAGUAAGAUAUUGAAUGAUUAAACACACGAUCAAAAGUGACUGAUCACUGACCCCUCUGAUCAUAUGAAUGUUUAAAAAAACUCUAUUCUUCUAGAUUAUUUACAUACACCAAAAAGAGAAACAACCUAGUCUGAUAUCAUUAUCACUAAUUCGAUAUGAGGCUUGACCAUGCGAAAGAGGAACUGUGACUAUGAUGCAGCAAACCUACUGCUUAGUUACCAGGAUGAACAACUACCUUGUCAAUUACAUUCAUAUUGGUAAUGAUGCUAAUAGAUACAUGUCGAAAGGCAUAAAACAGAUGAGCAAAAGUAAAUGUUUCUAAAAAAUACCUUCUGCCAAUGGUAUUUCAUCUUGCAAAUUUUCAAAAAAGUCUUUUCUUCUGGAUGCAUUCUUUCUAGUCCUCACACUAUCAUUCCUGAUUCCUUUAUUGAAUUCUUCUGGUCUAUCGGGGCAAUCAUCUUGAAUAUUUUAGCCGCCUCUGUCUGAGGAUUUGUAUUUGAUCGGUGAAAUCUUUGUGCAUCAGUUGAUGUCUCUCCAUUUUCCAAAUUUGUAAACUUUUUUUUUUUUUAUGGUCAUCCUCAUUUCAGUUGACAUAUCUGGACAGCAUGUGACAAAGGUAAUCAGGCAGUCAUAGUAAAUAAAAUAAAUGAUGGACUGGGAAUAUAAAUUCUGAAAACAUAACCUUCAUUAUCAUGUUGGAAAGUGAUUAUCCGUAUAAUUAAAUGAAUCAAAUCUAAUAAUGAGAAUCAUUCCUUUUACUGAAAUUCGAAAACAAUGGAAUCAUCAUAUUGACGAUGAUAAUAACAGGAACACGUGAAACAACCAAGAACACCAUCAGAAGCAAGUGUAAAAAUAAUACCUUCUACCAAUGUCAUGUCGAUGUUGUGUCUUGAUGCCUUUUUGGUAAUGUUGGUUAUAACCUCUAUUAUUUCUCUAACAUAUCCUUUUAAUCUUUCUGGGCGAUUAUCUCCAACAUCUUGCAACUCUACUACUGUUUCAGGGUUUGUACCUUCAUUGCGGAAACCCUGUGAAUCUCUUGAUGUUCCUUCAGUCUGUAAAGCGGGAAACCUUUUUUUUCUUGCAGUCACUCUUUUCUUAGGUUCUGAUUUUCCUUCAGUUUCCAAAUCUGUGCACAUUUUUUUUCUCGUAGCCAUUCUUUUUUUAGGUGUCAUAUCUGAAUUAUACACAACAACUAAUCAAUCAUGGAUAAUAGAAGAAGCCAACAAAACAAUCAGCGGAAAAAACCUUAGAACGUCAAAUCACAAACAUGGACCAAAGGUAUGACUCAUUAGGUAAGAAGCCAAAUUCAAUCCCGACCAAUCACCCUAAACCCUAAUUAUACAGGGAAGUUGUAUGAUGUGUAUUUACAUAUCUAAAAUACAUGUGUCCCGACUAUAUAAUAUAGGAACACCUAAACUAAAGAGUAAUUUAACACAUUGACAGCACAAAUGGACCACAAUACUCUCCACUUUAAUUGCCUUCCCGUCUCUCGUUCAACCAUUGUAUGGAAACUUUUAAACACCGGCAACACUUGGUCUUUUGUCUUCAAAGCAUAUGCCCACACUUUUCUUGAGUGAUCAUCUAUGAAAGUAACAAAAUAAGAAGCUCCAUCUAUAGUUUUAACUUUCAAAGGACCACAAACAUUAGAGUAAACCAAGUCCAAAAUAUUUUGUUUCCUACUAUGAGUUUUAUGAAAGGAAACUCUAUGUUGUUUGCCGACUAAACAAUGAGAACAUUUGUUUAAAUGUGUACCUUUAACUCCUGGAAGCAUCUCCUUCUUGGCAAGAAUUUGCAGCCCUUUCUCACUCAUGUGGCCAAGUUGUUUAUGCCAUAUUUCUACGGAACUUUCAUUCUCUGUCGUGUUCAGCUCCCCCUUGAAUAACCGAGCUUGCAUUUUGUAGAGUGUGCAACAUUUUCUCCCUCUUGCUAUCACCAUGGAGCCCUUGAUGAGUUUCCACUUUCCACAGCCAAGUAGAUUCAUGUAGCCAUCAUCAUCUAACUUUCCAUUUGAAAUUAAAUUCAAGCGGAGAUCAGGUACAUGCCUUACAUCCUUGAGCACAAGUUUGCAGCCUAAAUUUGUCUGCAAAUCACAUCACCAAUUCCCAAAAUUUUUGAGACGCCUUUAUUUCCCAUUCUCACUAAGCCAAGAUCACCUGCUCUGUAACUUGAGAAGAAUUCUUUUCGAGGAGUAGCAUGGAAUGAGGCACCGUUGUCAACAACCCAUGUCAUUCCUUCACUUGAAAGGCUCAGACAUGUUUUUUCACAUUCGGAAAGUAGCUCUUCACAUUCCAGAGACUCUGAUAAUAUUAUGAUAUCACCAUCUGAAGAAAUCGCAGCAGUGUCCGACUCAUCUUCCUUCACUCCCUUCUUCUUUUCUCUCUUCAUUUUUCUACAUUCUCUUCUAUAAUGACCCUUCUCAUGGCAAUGGUAACAUUUAACAUCCUUCCUUGACCGAGACUUGCUUCUUGAUUUCCCAUGACCAUGAAAAUGUUGGUGUGGCCUCCAGUUCUUAGCUCUUCCCCUUCUUUCUACAACCACGGCCUCAGAAUAUGAAGAAUCUAAAGACUUUCUUCUCACCUCUUCAUUUAGCAAAUUGCUAGUCACUUGACUCAAUGACACAACACCUUCCGGGGUAGAGUUGCUAACUGAAACCACCAAUGUUUCCCAACUAUCAGGGAGUGAACUGAGAAGUAGUAACGCCUGUAAUUCGUCAUCAAGAACCAUAUUCAUUGAGGAGAGCUGAUUGACAAUGUUCUGCAUCUCAUUCAAGUGCUCAUUGAUUGAGGUAUCUUCUUUGUAUUUCAGAUUAACAAGCUUUCUAAUCAAAAAAGCUUUGUUGGUUGCCGUCUUCCUUUCGUAUAAGCUUUCAAGCUUCCUCUAUAAUGCGAGAGUUGUGGUCUCUUUCAAAACAUGAUGGAGGACGUUGUCAUCGAGCCAUUGCCGUAUAACUCCAAUGGUUUUUCUGUUUAGCUUCUUCUAAUCAUCUCAGACAUCGUCUCUGGCUUUUCACCUUCAAUUGGAGAAUACAAGUCUUUGCAGUAGAGUAUGUCUUCCAUCUUUGCCUUCCAGAUCAUGUAGUUCCUCCCAUUCAAGCUAACCAUCCGGCUUGUAUUGACAUCCAUGGUUUUAUCCGCUCACCAGUGGCUCUGAUACCACUUUGUUGGGAGAGGAACCAGAUUAUACAGUAAAAUCACAACAAGAACAACAAAUAACAGCAGCAAAUACACCAAUUUUAACGUGGAAACCUUUCAAUGUGAAGGGUAAAAACCACGGGACAAUCUUCGAAGAACUUCCACUAUGAUAAAUGGGAUUACAGCCACCAAUCUCUCUAGAUCACUAGAGGAAAACUCUCAAGAGAAACACUCUUGGAUACACAAACACAAGAAGACUUAUCAGAGAAAGGAUUGUUGUCUUCUUUCUCUCCUUUUACAGUAAAACCUCUCUCUCUUCUCUAACCAAGGAGCCCCUUCUGCUGCGGACCACUUACGGACUUUCAAAAACCAACCGUUAGAUUACACAAACGGUGCAGAUCUUCUCCUUCUCUCUCUCUCUCUCUNNNNNNNNNNNNNNNNNNNNGAGAGAGAGAGAGAGAAGAUUUGCACCGUUUGUGUAAUCUAACGAUUGGUUUUUGAAACUCCGUAAGUGGUCCGUAACUCUGCGGUCCCCAGCAGAAAGGGCUCCCUCUAACCAAGGCUACUAAAACUGAAUACAUAAACAUACACUCUUCUAGACAUCUUGAGAAGAUGAGAGAUACACCGACAACCAAUUUAAUGGUGUAGUACGCCUUCUUUUUUUUGGAAAACUAAACCAACUCCUUUUUGGUUUUAUUUAUUAUUUCUUUUCUCCAAGUUGGACUCCAACUUGAUUUAGAACGGCUAUUACUAAGUUGUAUAGCAUGAGGAGGGAACUCCAACAUGACACCCCUACGGUCGGGCUUUUCGGCCUUUUGUUUUCUUCCAUUUCAAGUCCGCUUAGAAGUCCUAAGGUUUCCGACUCAAAAUUCGAUAAGGACUUCUAGUUCUAAACCAAAUAGGAUUUAGUCAUGACUUUGAGCCUAUAUAAAGCACCCUCUGUUGUAUUAAGCUUCAGAAACAAUUCGUUUUCACCUAUUAUCCUUAUAGCUUUCACAGCUGAUCAACAAUGGAGAAGAAAGACAACACUAUGACUCGUUCCGGUGAUGUUGACCUCGAUGAAAAAUCCUGGGAGUUAUCAUCAUCUUCACCAAUAUUCUGAGCUUUUGAAACUGUCGGUCAAGUAUUUAGUAGAUAAAGGGAAGUACUUCGUCGAAAUUAAAGAACAGAAGGACGACGCCCUUGAAUUAGAAGUCAAGGGGAUGAAAAGGUUUUCGGAAUCUGACGAACUUGAUCAUCAAAAGAAAUUGAAGGCCAUGAAGACUCUAAUUACUCGAUUUGAGAAGGCGCUCAACCCUAAUAAAGGCACCCUUAACAUGUGUAUGAAAAGCUUGUACGCAGGAGACAAGGAUAAGUGGCGUGAAGAUCACCUAUCUGCACACAAAUUCUUCUUUGAGCAAGCACAACUCAAGAAUAUUUAUGUGUUGGUGGAUCUGGGACGCACACAACUCGAGAAUAUUAAAGCCUACAAUUCAAAAACAUUAGCAUUACUAGAAGCUGGGAACUUGAACGAGGUGGCGUUGCAUGAGAUGAGAAAUCAGUACCUUUGUUUCUACAAAGGAAUAUUAAGUUUGAGCCUGAGAAUUAACAUAUUGAUUUAUCACUUGAAGAAACCACCACAGCGUCGACGUCCUGAGACGAGUUUGGUGGGCAGAUAUUCGGCAUGGGUGGAAGGUGAACUCCGGCGGUACGAGGAGGAACUAGAGACCACCGAGUUCAUAGUGUUUCAAUUAAUGAAGAACAAGUUUGUGGGACUUCGAUCGUUUGGACUUCGGUUGGUACCUGAUUCUUGGAAGGCAAGGUAUUUGAAGAGUAUCUCGAAUGCGAGAGAGAAUGGGACAAAGGGAUAUAACAAGCGGGGCUAUGAGAAACUGAAAACCCUUUGAGCUAGCCCUCCUGAUUGUUACUAGCUGGGUAGAGAGACUUUUUACUCCUGAUUGUCUUUGCUUUUCUUCCAUGUGUCUUCUUAUAAAUGCUUAAGUGAGAACUUCCUUGGAAGUUGUGCUUGGUCAUUGUCCCUGUAGCGUAACAAGCUGAAAUUUCAUUUUAAUUUGGAACUUCACUCAUUUUUUUUUAUAAUCUCUUAAUUAUGUGUUGUGUAAAAGGAAAAACACAUUUAUGUGUACCUUCGUUAAAGUCGUAACCAACGAGAGUAAAUUAUGUAAUUAAUGCUUAAUCAGUUAUUAAUCAGAUUUUAUUGUUAUUAUGUAUGUUAUAGUUACAGUUGUAAUAUCACCUCUAUAUAAAGAGGAGUUUUAAUG